This 774-nucleotide ribosomal RNA is filed under the name uncultured Neocallimastigales. RNAcentral describes it as "partial large subunit ribosomal RNA". It matches the Rfam family "Eukaryotic large subunit ribosomal RNA", at positions 23 to 646 of the family's 3401-position model. Lineage: Eukaryota; Fungi; Neocallimastigomycota; Neocallimastigomycetes; Neocallimastigales. The record is from RNAcentral.
AUAGAGACUCAGAGCUGCAUAUCAAUAAGCGGAGGAAAAGGAACUAACAAGGAUUCCCUUAGUAACGGCGAGUGUAGCGGGAAGAGCUCAAAUUUGAAAUCUUCAAGGUUUUACCUUGACGAAUUGUAGUUUAAAGAAGUGUUUUCUGUUGAAGUUUCGGUAAAAGUUCUUUGGAAUAGGACAUCAUAGAGGGUGAGAAUCCCGUAUUUGACCGUUAUUUUCAGCUGUGUGAUACACUUUCAAAGAGUCGGAUUGUUUGGGAAUGCAGUCCAAAAUGGGUGGUAAAUUUCAUCUAAAGCUAAAUAUUGGCGAGAGACCGAUAGCGAACAAGUACCGUGAGGGAAAGAUGAAAAGAACUUUGAAAAGAGAGUUAAACAGUACGUGAAAUUGUCAAAAGGGAAGCGUUUGACACCAGUGUUGUUUAGUUGAAAAUCAAUUCAAUAGUUUUUGAUUCUAAGUAGUAUUGACUUCAUCAGCUUGCUGCUUUCUUCUCAGAAAUUAUUGAAUGCACUUUUCAGUUAACAAGUCAACAUCAAUUUCUUUUGUUGUAAAAGGGUAAGAGGAAGGUGGCUUGCGCUUCGGCUCAAGUGUUUAUAGCCUUUUAUCUCUGCAAUCGGAGAGAUUGAGGUCUGCAGCGUAGAUCCUUCGGGGUUAGAUACAUUUGUGCUAAGUUAUAGCUUUUCAUAGACAACUUGUUGACUAUGUUAAGUCUUGUAGCUUACUCGCUUAUGCUAUUUUACCUACGCUUAGGAUGUUGACGAGACUGUCGAUCUC